CUGACUGCAGGACACCAGCUCCUGCGAACACACACACACACACACACAUGGCAUUGCAUGAGGAAGCGGCACGGGACGAGCAGACAAUCAAAACAAGGAAUAUGAAGUGGAAGGCGCGCUGGCGGCACAUCAUCCUUUCGUGGCGGGAACAAUGAGGAUGGGAUAAUGAGGCGAGGGCUGAUUUAUUUGGCGAGGACAGUGGCUGCUGUGACCGUGCAGGGGGAGGAAGGUCUCACACUCACAUUGGCUUGAUUGGCGGCUUGAUUGGCAGCCUCCUCGCCGCCGACACUCUCGUCCUGAUCGCAUCCCUCCAGCUGCAACAUAUCAGCAACAUGUGGUGCUGUUGGAGUGGACUAAGCCGACACCAAGUGUGGCCCGCCUACUUUUGCAUGGACUUCAACAGAGUAAAUCCAUGAAAAUGUGUCACUAGGAGUUGUAAAAUUAGUUAGAAGGUAAGCAUUCCAGUUUAUUAUGGGCCGAUUUUACUAGCAACCUUUUUAGUGGGAAUAAACUGCUGUUGACGCAGCUUUUUUCCCUCCUUUAAUUACAGAUAAGCCAGUUUUUUUUCUUUUAGUUGUACAUUUUAGCACUGCGAGUGUCGUGCGACUCGCGGCUGCCUUUUAAAGGCCGUCGGAGCUCUGGUCAUGAAUAAAAGGGUGACAGCAGCUUGAAAAAAUAAAGAAAACUGAUUGAAACCUACUCAUUCUAACUUCAGCUCAGGCAACAUUGAUCUAAAUGAUAUUUAAGGACAUAAAUAGAACAAAACAAUCUUAUUUUACACUCAAUCUAAGGCAAGGGUCUCAGACGUUAUUUUUCGGCCCUCACCUUAGCACGAAAGUUUAAUGUUAGUACGGCCCGCAAUUUUUAUAUGAAUGCCGCUUGACAGCGUUGUGUGCGGAGCUGAAGGAAUCUACCAAUCACGGUGUGGUAUGUAAAUUUAGAGAGCCGAACAUUGACGUCACUUGCCGCUGUUCCACUAGACCCGCAGGCGCUCUUCCUCCCUCGCUCGGCCGCCUGAUAGCUCUAUCAAUUUCUCCCUCUCUCUCUCGCUCCCUCCCUUCCCCAGCGUUCCGGUAGCUUCCGAAGCACUCCGCCAAAGAACCAAGCGACAAUACAAAACUGUGGCGCACUGCGCUACCGCGCUGAUACUCCGACAGAGUCGUUGGCUAACUGUGCUACCAUAACUGUAAACUCCACCCCAUCCCAUUGGCUCCAGACAGAGACCAUUUUUGUUAUUUGGGUCCAAAAUGGCUCUUUCAACAAUCUGGGUUGCCUACCCCUGCGUAAGGGGAAAAGCGGCAAAUGAGUGA
Molecule: long non-coding RNA, 1310 nt
Organism: Nerophis ophidion (straightnose pipefish)
Lineage: Eukaryota; Metazoa; Chordata; Actinopteri; Syngnathiformes; Syngnathidae
Exons: 3
Source: RefSeq, a predicted model, not a curated record